CUAUUUCUUGGGCCGCUCCCACGGCAUAUGGAGGUUCCCAGGCUAGGGAUCCAAUCGGAGCUGUAGCCACUGGCCUACACCAGAGCCACAGCAAAGCAGGAUCUGAGCCACGUCUGCAACCUACACCACAGCUCACGGCAACGCCGGAUCCUUAACCCACUGAGCAAGGGCAGGGACCGAACCCGCACCCUCAUGGUUCCUAGUCGGAUUCGUUAACCACUGCGCCACGACGGGAACUCCUGUUGGAAGUUUCUUAAUCACAGUUUCAAUUUCAGUACUUCUGAUUGGUCCAUUCACCUUUUCUAUUUCUUCUUGGUUUAGUUUUGGAAGAUUGUACUUUUUUAAGAAUUUGUCCAUUUCUUCUAGUUUGUCUGUUUUAUUGGUACAUAGUGGCUUGUAGUAGUCUCUUAUGAUCCUUUGUAUUUCUGUGAUGUUUGUUCUCACUUCUUUUUCAUUUCUAGUUUUACUGACUUGAGUCCUCUCCUCUUUUUCUCUUGAUGAGUCUGGCUAAAGGUUUAUCAAUUUUGUUGAUCUUUUCAAAAAACCAGCUUUUAGUUUCAUUGAUGGUUUUCUUGGUUUCUAUUUCAUUUCAGCUCUAAUCCUUAUGAUUUCUUUCCUUCUGCUAGCUUUGGGUUUUGUCUGUUCUUUCUCUAGUUGCUUUAAAUGUAAAUUUAGUUGUUUGAGAUUUUUCUUGUUUCCUGGGGUGGUCUUGUAUUGGUAUAAAUUUCCCUCUUGGAACUGCUUUUGCUGCAUCCCAUAUGUUUUGGAUUGUUAGGUCUUUGUCAUCAUUUGCUUUUUUAGGUAUUUUUUAACUUCCUCUUUGUUUUCUUCAAUGAUCCAUUGGUUGUUUAGUAGCAUGUCUUUUAGUCUCCACAUGUUUGUGUUUUUUGAAGUUUUUUUCUUGUUGAUUUCUAGUUGUAUAGCGUUGUGUGGCCAGAAAAGAUGCUUGAUAUGAUUUCAGUUUUCUUAAAUUUCCUGAGGCUUAAUUUGUGGCCCAGAAUGUGAUCUAUCCUAGAGAAUGUUCCAGUGCAUUUGAAAGAAUGUGUGUUCUGCUGCUUUUGGAUGGAAUAUUCUAUAAAUAUCUAUUAAGUCCGUCUGGUCUAAUGCAUCAUUUAAGGCCUGUGUUUCCUUGUUAAUUUUCUAUCUGGAGGAUCUGUCAUUGCCUUAAGUGGGAUGUCAAAAAGUCUCCCACUAUUAUUGUGUUAUUGUCGAUUUCUCCUUAUAGGGCUGUUAGCAGUUGCCUUAUAUAUUGAGCUGAUCCUAUGUUGGGUGCAUAUAUGUUUACAAUUGUUAAAUUUUCUUCUUGGAUUGAUCCUUUGAUCAUUAUGUAAUGUCCUUCCUUGUCUCUUAAAAUAUUCUUUAUUUUAAGGUCUAUUUUGUCUGGUAUGAGUAUUGCUACUCCAGCUUUCUUUUGAUUCCCAUUUGCAUGGAAUAUU
Molecule: long non-coding RNA, 1436 nt
Filed under: Sus scrofa (pig)
Lineage: Eukaryota; Metazoa; Chordata; Mammalia; Artiodactyla; Suidae
Description: lncRNA (ENSSSCG00005038547.1)
Source: RNAcentral